This 64-nucleotide transfer RNA is filed under the name Oplophorus typus. RNAcentral's name for it is "tRNA-Arg". The record is from RNAcentral. Lineage: Eukaryota; Metazoa; Arthropoda; Malacostraca; Decapoda; Oplophoridae.
AACUAAAAAGCGAAAUAUUGCAGUUAGUUUCGACCUAACCUUUGGUGAUAAACACCUUUAGUUG